CGGGGAUAGCCUUUCGAAAGAAAGAUUAAUACCCGAUGGUAUAAUCAGACCGCAUGGUCUUGUUAUUAAAGAAUUUCGGUUAUCGAUGGGGAUGCGUUCCAUUAGGCAGUUGGUGAGGUAACGGCUCACCAAACCUUCGAUGGAUAGGGGUUCUGAGAGGAAGGUCCCCCACAUUGGAACUGAGACACGGUCCAAACUCCUACGGGAGGCAGCAGUGAGGAAUAUUGGUCAAUGGGCGCAGGCCUGAACCAGCCAAGUAGCGUGAAGGAUGACUGCCCUAUGGGUUGUAAACUUCUUUUAUAUGGGAAUAAAGUUUUCCACGUGUGGAAUUUUGUAUGUACCAUAUGAAUAAGGAUCGGCUAACUCCGUGCCAGCAGCCGCGGUAAUACGGAGGAUCCGAGCGUUAUCCGGAUUUAUUGGGUUUAAAGGGAGCGUAGGUGGACAGUUAAGUCAGUUGUGAAAGUUUGCGGCUCAACCGUAAAAUUGCAGUUGAUACUGGCUGUCUUGAGUACAGUAGAGGUGGGCGGAAUUCGUGGUGUAGCGGUGAAAUGCUUAGAUAUCACGAAGAACUCCGAUUGCGAAGGCAGCUCACUGGACUGCAACUGACACUGAUGCUCGAAAGUGUGGGUAUCAAACAGGAUUAGAUACCCUGGUAGUCCACACAGUAAACGAUGAAUACUCGCUGUUUGCGAUAUACAGUAAGCGGCCAAGCGAAAGCAUUAAGUAUUCCACCUGGGGAGUACGCCGGCAACGGUGAAACUCAAAGGAAUUGACGGGGGCCCGCACAAGCGGAGGAACAUGUGGUUUAAUUCGAUGAUACGCGAGGAACCUUACCCGGGCUUAAAUUGCAUUUGAAUAUAUUGGAAACAGUAUAGCCGUAAGGCAAAUGUGAAGGUGCUGCAUGGUUGUCGUCAGCUCGUGCCGUGAGGUGUCGGCUUAAGUGCCAUAACGAGCGCAACCCUUAUCUUUAGUUACUAACAGGUCAUGCUGAGGACUCUAGAGAGACUGCCGUCGUAAGAUGUGAGGAAGGUGGGGAUGACGUCAAAUCAGCACGGCCCUUACGUCCGGGGCUACACACGUGUUACAAUGGGGGGUACAGAAGGCAGCUACCUGGUGACAGGAUGCUAAUCCCAAAAGCC
RNAcentral lists this ribosomal RNA (1139 nucleotides) under Bacteroides thetaiotaomicron. Its description in RNAcentral is "bacterial SSU rRNA". It matches the Rfam family "Bacterial small subunit ribosomal RNA", at positions 138 to 1283 of the family's 1533-position model. Lineage: Bacteria; Pseudomonadati; Bacteroidota; Bacteroidia; Bacteroidales; Bacteroidaceae. The record is from RNAcentral.